AUUGAACGCUGGCGGCAUGCUUUACACAUGCAAGUCGAACGGCAGCACGGGGGCAACCCUGGUGGCGAGUGGCGAACGGGUGAGUAACACAUCGGGACGUGUCCAGUUGUGGGGGAUAACCCAUCGAAAGGUGGGCUAAUACCGCAUGAGCUGGCAACAGGAAAGCGGGGGACCCGCAAGGGCCUUGUGCGAUUGGAGCGGCCGAUGUCCGAUUAGCUAGUUGGUGGGGAAAGGCCUACCAAGGCUUCGAUCGGUAGCUGGUCUGAGAGGAUGAUCAGCCACACUGGGACUGAGACACGGCCCAGACUCCUACGGGAGGCAGCAGUGGGGAAUUUUGGACAAUGGGGGCAACCCUGAUCCAGCCAUGCCGCGUGAGUGAAGAAGGCCU
RNAcentral lists this ribosomal RNA (388 nucleotides) under uncultured bacterium. RNAcentral's name for it is "bacterial SSU rRNA". It matches the Rfam family "Bacterial small subunit ribosomal RNA", at positions 29 to 417 of the family's 1533-position model. The record is from RNAcentral.